This 786-nucleotide ribosomal RNA is filed under the name uncultured bacterium. RNAcentral's name for it is "bacterial SSU rRNA". It matches the Rfam family "Bacterial small subunit ribosomal RNA", at positions 9 to 802 of the family's 1533-position model. The record is from RNAcentral.
GAGUUUGAUCCUGGCUCAGAAUGAACGUUGGCGGCGUGGAUUAGGCAUGCAAGUCGUGCGAGAAGUGUUCUUUGCUUGCAUUGAACGCGGACAGCGGCGAAAGGGAGAGUAACGUGUGGUUACACGCCUCGGGGUCCAGGAUAGCGUCGGGAAACUGGCGGUAAUACUGGAUGAUAUCUAAGGAUCAAAGGUGUGAUUCCGCCCUGAGAUUGGACCGCAUACUAUUAGCUUGUUGGUGAGGUAAUGGCUCACCAAGGCUUCGAUGGUUACCGGGUGUGAGAGCAUGGCCCGGCUCACUGGGACUGAGACACUGCCCAGACACCUACGGGUGGCUGCAGUCGAGAAUCUUCGGCAAUGGACGAAAGUCUGACCGAGCGACGCCGCGUGCGGGAUGAAGGCCUUCGGAUUGUAAACCGCUGUCAGUUGGAAGGAAAGGUUUGCGAAGAGCAAACCCUGACCGAUCUUCAGAGGAAGGACGGGCUAAGUUCGUGCCAGCAGCCGCGGUAAGACGAACCGUCCAAACGUUAUUCGGUAUUACUGGGCUUAAAGCGUGCGUAGGCGGCCUAGAAGGUGAGAUGUGAAAUCCCACGGCUCAACCGUGGAACUGCGUUUCAAACCACUAGGCUUGAGGAAGACAGGGGUGUUGGGAACUUAUGGUGGAGCGGUGAAAUGCGUUGAUAUCAUAGGGAACACCGGUGGCGAAGGCGCAACACUGGGUCUUUUCUGACGCUGAGGCACGAAAGCUAGGGUAGCGAACGGGAUUAGAUACCCCGGUAGUCCUAGCCG